Molecule: ribosomal RNA, 253 nt
Filed under: uncultured bacterium
Lineage: Bacteria
Description: partial 16S ribosomal RNA
Rfam family: Bacterial small subunit ribosomal RNA
Source: RNAcentral
UCCGGAGGGUGCAAUCGUUAAUCGGAAUUACUGGGCGUAAAGCGUGCGUAGGGGGUUGAUUAAGUUAUCUGUGAAAUCCCUGGGCUUAACCUGGGCAGGUCAGAUGAUACUGGUUGACUCGAGUAUGGGAGAGGGUAGUGGAAUUUCCGGUGUAGCGGUGAAAUGCGUAGAGAUCGGAAGGAACACCAGUGGCGAAGGCGGCUACCUGGCCUAAUACUGACACUGAGGCACGAAAGCGUGGGGAGCAAACAGG